UAGGGAAUCUUCCACAAUGGGCGAAAGCCUGAUGGAGCAACGCCGCGUGUGUGAUGAAGGGUUUCGGCUCGUAAAACACUGUUGUAAGAGAAGAAUGACAUUGAGAGUAACUGUUCAAUGNGUGACGGUAUCUUACCAGAAAGGAACGGCUAAAUACGUGCCAGCAG
Molecule: ribosomal RNA, 167 nt
Filed under: uncultured bacterium
Lineage: Bacteria
Description: partial 16S rRNA
Rfam family: Bacterial small subunit ribosomal RNA
Source: RNAcentral